RNAcentral lists this ribosomal RNA (897 nucleotides) under uncultured archaeon. RNAcentral's name for it is "bacterial SSU rRNA". It matches the Rfam family "Archaeal small subunit ribosomal RNA", at positions 1 to 874 of the family's 1478-position model. The record is from RNAcentral.
UUCCGGUUGAUCCUGCCGGACCCUACUGCUAUCGGGGGAGGACUAAAACAUGCAAGUCGUGCGCCUCCAAGCCAUGGUGGAGACGCGGCAUCCGGCUCAGUAACACGUGGCUAACCCACCCUUGAGACGGGGAAAACCCCGGGAAACUGGGGUUAAUCCUCGAUAAGAGAAGACACUUGGAAUGGGUCUCCUCUCAAAGGGCGCCUAGACCAUGCUUCUGGGCGUUGCUCAAGGACGGGGCCGCGGCCGAUCAGGUUGUUGGUGAGGCAACGGCUCACCAAGCCUAUAACCGGUACGGGCCGUGAGAGCGGGAGCCCGGAGAUGGGCACUGAGACAAGGGCCCAGGCCCUACGGGGCGCGGCAGUUGCGAAAACUCCGCAAUGCACGAAAGUGUGACGGGGCUACCCCGAGUGCCGUCCGCUGAGGGCGGCUUUUCCCAGGUGUAAGGAGCCGGGGGAAUAAGGAGAGGGCAAGUCUGGUGUCAGCCGCCGCGGUAAUACCAGCUCUCCGAGUGGUAGGGAUGAUUAUUGGGCUUAAAGCGUCCGUAGCCGGCCCGGCAAGUCUUCCGUUAAAUCCAACGAUUCAAUCGUUGGACUGCGGGAGAUACUGUUGGGCUAGGGGGCGGGAGAGGCCGACGGUAUUCUAGGGGUAGGGGUAAAAUCCUAUAAUCCCUGGAAGACCACCAGUGGCGAAGGCGGUCGGCUAGAACGCGCUCGACGGUGAGGGACGAAAGCUGGGGGAGCGAACCGGAUUAGAUACCAGGGUAGUCCCAGCUGUAAACGAUGCGGGCUAGGUGUUGGGGCGGCUACGGGCCGCUUCAGUGCCGCAGGGAAACCAUUAAGCCCGCCGCCUGGGGAGUACGGCCGCAAGGCUGAAACUUAAAGGAAUUGGCGGGGG